This 2012-nucleotide long non-coding RNA is filed under the name Glycine max (soybean). RNAcentral describes it as "long non-coding RNA (GMAX_LNC003733)". Lineage: Eukaryota; Viridiplantae; Streptophyta; Magnoliopsida; Fabales; Fabaceae. The record is from RNAcentral.
GGAAGGAGAAAAGGAAUUUGAAGCCCUCAGAUCUCAUAGCUUAACACAAUCAUCUACAGCUUUUGUCACUGGUUUCAUUCAUAACCUUAUUGCACCUUUCAGAUCAGGGUGUUGCUAGCAUUGCAUCCCGUAUACACAAACACACACACGCACACACACACACAGAGGAAAAGAGAUAUAUUGUGAGGGAGAGAGAGAGAGAGAGAGAGAGAGAGAGAGGUGCACUUCAGGUUAUGAUCGAUACCAUGUAGCUGCUCAACAAUCUAUUUGUGCAUCAUUGGGCCAAAUAACAAGUAAUUUGCUUCAAUUAUCAAUUCCGAACUUUUUUUCACAGUUAAAAGAUUCAGUUAUAAUUUUGCAGUUGAAAACAGAGGAAAUGCUUACAAGAGCCUCUCCAAAAAAAAAAACAAAUAGAAUACAGAUAAUGCACCAAGAGGAAAAGAUGAAACAAGGAAGAUGUUGAUGAAAAUACAAUAUGCAAAGAGGAAAACAACGCAGAAGCUCCACAACAAUCGGAAAACAAUUCUCAUCAUACAGAGAGAAGAAAAAGUAAACAGACAAGCAUUAAGAAAUUAUGAGGGAGCUCUCUUUGCCCAACUAAUAAAAAAUUACAUUUACAUUGAAAUUCUUUAAGCCAGCUAUUAGAAACAAAAUAAACGAGGAAGAAUUCAAAGCCCUCAGUUCUAAUAGAUUAAUAACUAAAUCAUCUACAGCCUUUACCUCCGGUUCAUUCACAACCUUCUUGCACCUUUCCAAGAAACAACACACACACACAGAGAGAGAGAGAGAAGGGGGAGAGAUGCAUAUCAGGCUACGAACAAAACCAUUAAGUCAUUCAAUAGUAUAUUUGUGCAUCAUUGGGAAGGACGACAGACAAUUUGCCCAAAAGAUCAUCAUCAAAUUUAUUUUCAGAUGAAAUUUUGUAUCUUAGUUGUGAUUUUCAGAAAUCAAUUUAGAGUAGUAAGAAGGGUCAAGACAUAAAAGAGCUCCUAGAUAAACAAUGCAUCUGAAAGCAUCACAUCACACGAAAGGCUUUACAUUUCAGAACAAACAAAUAUUUAUAGAAGCCACAUCAAAGACUAACCAACAUGUUAAUGAGAAAGCCCUUUACUUCCACAUAUCAAUCAGAAAAAAAAAUCCCAAAACAACACAUAAAAAAGACAGCAAAUAAAACUAAACACAAACAAAAAUAAAUAGCAGAACCAGUGGAAGGAAGACUGUUAAAAAAAAUAGAGAUUCUUGACCAACACUGAAGAAUAACACAUUAGGGUUUGAAGGGAAUGAAAUUAAUAUGCAAUGAGAACCGAUGAAUUCACCAAAUCAGACCCUUUUUUAACUUGUGGGUAGUCAGACCUAGCUUUCUAGGCUGUGCAUUUCCAUCAAAAGUGCAGUUAAAACAGCUCAGAGCCCAGUGCAUAUCAUCAUUCACUAGCCAUGAAAAACAAUCAAACAAGCCAAUAAUAAACAAAUCGCCACAAUAAAUAAGAAAAUAAAUAUUGAAGUGGAGAAUUUAUGACAAGAAAAUACAAAACCCUCAGAUCUCAUAGCUUAAAAUGAAAUCAUACACAGCUUUUAUCACUGGUUUCAUUCAUAACCUUCACGCACCCUCCGAGUGAAAUGCUAGCAUUGCUCACACACACACACGCACACACACACACACAAGUAGGAAGGAAGAGAGAGAAAGAGAGAUGCAGAUCGGGUUAUGAAAGAAACCGUGUAGCUGCUCAACAAUAUAUUUGUGCAUCAUUGGGCAAAAUACAAGCAAUUUGCUUCAAUUAUCAAAUACUAAACUUCAUUUUACAGAGUAAAAUUUCUUUCAGAUAUAAGAUCCACUCCAUUGAAAUUAAAUAAAACAAAAAUGCGUCGAACAUAAGCAAGGUAACGAGAGGAAAAUGCAGCUUGCUCAGAACAUCACAUAGAUGCAAAAAAAGAAAAACAGAAAACAAAUUCAACACAGAAGAAAAAGAAAAGGCAAUAUAUAUAUAUAUAUAUAUAUAUAUAUAGUGUUGAAC